This 282-nucleotide unclassified non-coding RNA is filed under the name Pseudozyma thailandica. Its description in RNAcentral is "sequence contains ITS2". RNAcentral also lists the same sequence under 1 other name. Lineage: Eukaryota; Fungi; Basidiomycota; Ustilaginomycetes; Ustilaginales; Ustilaginaceae. The record is from RNAcentral.
AUUGUUUCGAACAUCGACUUUUUUCUCUUGGAAAAAAGGAGGUGGAUCGGUAUUGAGGAUUUGCCAUUCACCAUGGCUUCCUCGAAAAGCAUUAGCGCAUCCAUUUGAUAGGCAAGACGGACGAAAGCAUGCAUUUUUGCCUUGUUCUUCCCUGCCGGGUUUUGAUAAUAUCAGGACUUCGGAGGCGAAGGCAAGGUGGCAAGCUGGACGCAACGACUUGCUGUUUGGAGUGCUUCUAACCCCGCCCAUGCCUUGCUUGCAAGGAAGGGAAUUUUUUCAAUU